This 70-nucleotide transfer RNA is filed under the name Ictidomys tridecemlineatus (thirteen-lined ground squirrel). Its description in RNAcentral is "Spermophilus tridecemlineatus (thirteen-lined ground squirrel) tRNA". It matches the Rfam family "tRNA". From Rfam's summary of the family: Transfer RNA (tRNA) molecules are approximately 80 nucleotides in length. Their secondary structure includes four short double-helical elements and three loops (D, anti-codon, and T loops). The record is from Rfam by way of RNAcentral. Lineage: Eukaryota; Metazoa; Chordata; Mammalia; Rodentia; Sciuridae.
GGGGACAUAGCUCAGUUGGUAGAGUGCUUACCUCAAAUGUACAAGGUCCUGGGUUCAAUCCCUAGCUCCA